UGGUCCAUAACUUUGGCAUCUUUGGACGAGUCCUAUGAAGUUCAAAAAUAUUUUAGAGUGUUGGGAAACUACAUGUUCAGAAGCAUCCUUAAGAAAGACCUGGAUAGGGUGGUGGGAGAGCAAUACAAGAGUCGUGCUGUUAGGCGAAGCAGCCCGAAUGUUGCACCCUAGAUGGUGAAAGUCCAGUAACCAAAAGCAUCACUAGCUUAUGCUCUGACCCGAGUAGCAUGGGGCACGUGGAAUCCCGUGUGAAUCAGCAAGGACCGCCUUGCAAGGCUAAAUACUCAUGGGUGACCGAUAGCAAAGUAGUACCGUGAGAGAAGGAUGAAAAGAACCCGCAUAUGGGAGUGAAAUAGAACAUUAAACCG
Nicotiana attenuata is the source of this 368-nucleotide ribosomal RNA. It matches the Rfam family "Bacterial large subunit ribosomal RNA", at positions 22 to 558 of the family's 2925-position model. NCBI's taxonomy places the organism in Eukaryota, Viridiplantae, Streptophyta, Magnoliopsida, Solanales, Solanaceae. The record is from Rfam.